Non-coding RNA from Zonotrichia albicollis (white-throated sparrow), 422 nucleotides. NCBI's taxonomy places the organism in Eukaryota, Metazoa, Chordata, Aves, Passeriformes, Passerellidae. The record is from RefSeq and is a predicted model, not a curated record.
GCAGUGUCCCUGAAGGGUUUGCAGAUCACCAGGGGAGCAAACCCCAGGAUCUGCUGCUCCACCACGAAGGGGGAUGGAUGAAAUGUGACCCAGCUGCUCCUGGAGCAUCUCCCACUGGUGCACAAGAGUCACCAGAUGGAAUUGAAUCAUUGUCUAGGAUUUAGGAGUGAUAUAUGCAAUCCUAAACCACUCCAGAUUGUUACAGGCGUGACUGUCCUGAUCCUGGUGAAGCAAACAGAAGAGCUUGGAAGAGCCAAUGUAUUUUAUAGCACUGGAGUGGAAGUGGAUCUGGUGAAUCUCAUGUGGACAUUUUGCCCACAUGGAUCCUGUGUGUCCCCAUCAUUUUGGAUCACCAUCACUCACAGUGCCAGGUGAGAGACAGGCAGGCACUCAGGAGUCACCUGAAUCUAAAAGAUUUAGCA